This 12619-nucleotide long non-coding RNA is filed under the name Brassica napus (rape). RNAcentral describes it as "long non-coding RNA (BNAP_LNC016599)". The record is from RNAcentral. Lineage: Eukaryota; Viridiplantae; Streptophyta; Magnoliopsida; Brassicales; Brassicaceae.
GACAAUACAACAGUAAGAAGAAGUAAAAGAAUCCAUUACACAGUUCAUGGAAGACUAAAGAUAUGACCAAAUCUUUUAUGUACAAACCUGCUUUGUAUCAUCUCAAUCAUAGCUCCCUCAGGACUCUAACAGUUGGUGGACAAUCUGUUCUCUGACCAGCCAGCGAGUAAUACGCUAGUAUAUGAGCAGGAUGCUCCACCUCACUUACCUCUCCCAUUUCAUCCACUUCCGGGACUCUUCUUGCUUGAAUCAGCUCUAUGUUCCAGUACGGUCUAGACAUUACCCUCAGAUCUUGCCCUGUCUCUGAAGCUCUGUACCCUUGCACCCACAGGUAUCUCAGCGAAGGCAGCUCCAUCACCGCUGCAGCGAUCGCUCUCUCGCUGAAGCAACACCCUCUCAUCUCCAGCUUCUGCAUCUUCGGACAACACCCUUCUCUCGAGAACUCCACCAAUCCUUUGUCUGUCUCACCAACUUUACCGAGAAGCAUCCAUCUCACGUUUGGACUAUACUGUCCUACGUAGCCUAACCCCACGUCCGUCAAGCCGCCUGGCCUGAGAUAGAACGCGAACCGUCUGAGUUUCUCGCAUCCCAUCAAGAGUGAUCUGACACCACUAUCCAGCGGCAAAUCUGCUACUAUUCUCUCUUCCUGGUCGAGCAAGACAAGGCGGAAGUCGCGGAGGUUUUUCAGAUACGCGCCUAUGGUUCGGAGACACUCGUUGGUUAUGUCUGUCACGUACACCGCCAUGUACUCUAGCUCCUUGCAGCCGUGAGCCAAAGCCGUUAGUCCUCUCUGUGUGACUAAAUAUCCCAAGUCCUCAUUCCCAUCUUCAUCUGCACCUCGUCUUUCGUCAUCCAUCUCUUCUUCAUCGGCACCCCGUUCGAUCCUCAGCCGCUUUAACUUCUUACAGUACUUUGCAAGAACCUCUAGACCGUUGUCUCCUAUUACAUUCCUCGUCUGAGAUAUACACCAAGAACUUGUCAGCCUUUACAUACAUAAUAGUUCACAAAGAAGAAAAAGUUACCUCAAGAACUUCCAGAUUAGAACACUUUUGGAUUAGUUUACAAUGAUCAUUAGUUUCGAGAAACGCAUAGAGCAGAUCCAGCUUCCGGAGUUGAGCAGCGAAUGGAAACAGUAUCGGCAUUUCGUUAGCUCCCAAGUAAGGGAGGCCCAGACGAGUUAGCUUUGGAGGGAAAGUCAGUUUCAAGUACUUCUCAGGCGUUUCUGGAUCCUCAUCCAAGGCGCCACCGCGAAACUCCUCGAGGUUAACAGCAGCGUUAAAGAACCCGACUAGCUCCAGCAUCUCAAUGUCACCGACCUUGACAGAAACCAGAGAGCGGUGGCAGUUCCUAGCUAUGGUUUCCAAGUCUUUGGGGCUGAUUUUUGUAAACUCAGUCAUGUAGAAGUUUAACACCUCGAGAGACGUGUUGUGCAGGGCAAGCUCGUGUAGCCAUUUACCAUCCUUUUCAAGGAAAGAACUGUCGUCCAUCACCAACGUUUUGAUUUUCCUGUCACAGACAACAUACAGAACCAUGAAGAAAGUGAGAAAACAACUCAAGAUAAAUUAGAAUUUUCAACUUAAACUGCAUAUAUACAACAGCAACAACCAAGCCAAUACUAUUUUGUAAACGACUUGAUCAUAAAUAUGAACUCCCAUGGAAUGGAAAUAGUAAUGAUUCCUUACUACACAUUAUAAUCAAGUCUUAAUGCAAGAACGAGAUUAAUGAACAUGAACUCCCUGAGAUAACAUUUCUGCAGAGGGCAGAUAUAUUGGAUUUUCAAUUUAAACUGCAUAUACACAACAUCAACCAAGUCAAUACUAUUUUGUAAACUGCAUAUACCAAGUAUUGAUUUCCUUACCAGACUUUAUAAUCACGUCUUUUUAAACAUGGGACCUAAUGCAAGAACAAGUUCGUUAAAAUGAACACAUAGAGGCAAUCUUUCUGCAGAUAACAGACAUAAUCAAUCGAUCGUUUUUGCUAAUCAGACAUAAACAAAAGUGCAAAGUAAAGCAGGAAACCAAAUAAAGUAAGGUUAAGAGGUAAAAGUCGGUUGAAUAAUUCUGCAAUCUAUUUAUAAUCAUCACAAGUGUAAAGUAAGGAGGUCCUUUAUACAAGUAGGCAUCAAAGUUUCUACUUAACCAAUUGAACUAAAGAAACAAUCUUUAAGAUACGAUUCUUUGUAAAAGUAAACACCCAAAAUGCAGCAAUCUUGUUAUUAUCAAGCGGCGUCGUUAUGAAGAUAAAGAGAGAUGCAAAAUUAUGUGAUAAACCUCAAGAGACAAUCUUUCUAUGCAGAUGCCAUAUAUAAUCAAGUCAACACUAUUACGUAAACGACUAGAUUAUAAACAUGAACUCCCAAUGGAAUGAAAAUAGUAUUUGAUUCCUUAUUAUAUACACUUUAUAAUCAAGUCUUUAUAAACACGGCACCUAAAUGCAGAGAAGGAGAUUAAUAGACCCUAAACUCCCACUCCGCAGAGACAAUCUCUCUGAAGAUGACAAAUAAUCAAUCAAAUCAAUCUCAUACAUAAACAAAAGUGCAAAGUGAAGUAACAAAUCAAGUAACGUAAGGUAACUAACCAAUUGAGCUAGAGAAUCACUCUUUUUAACUAUACAAUUCUUUUGUAAAGACCUAAAACGCAGCAAAUCUUGUUCUUAUCAAAAACGGCGUCGUUACGAAGAGUAAUCUUGUGUUAGUUACCUGCAGUGUCUAACGACGCUCAAGAGCCCAUCGCUAGAGAACCCCAAGCACUUAUCAAGCUUCAGAGCCUCGAGCUCAUCCCCCCUCGCUCUCGCCAAAACAUCAAGAUCCAAGUCGUUAACGAUCAUCCUCCUGAAAUGCACGGACCUGAUCCUCCGCAGCGACAAGGCGAUCUCGUUCACCCAGGGGGUAACAAACCCUCCCCAAUUCUCCGGGAUGAGGUUGAACAUCGCGGCGCGGGGCUUCCCUUUGAGCUUGAGCGACCUCAGGUUCGGGAACCGAGCGCUGAGACGAUCGGGUGCGGAGGCGUAGCAUAGGGCCAUGGUGACGUGGUAUCUCGUCUCGGAGUCCGCUCUGAGCCACGUUCGGUUGACGAGGGAGGCGGAUUCGCGGUCUUUGGGGUCGGUUAAGUAAGGCAUGACUAGCGAGAUGACGUCAUCGGCGUUCCGCGGGGUUGAUCGAAGCUUCUUGGUAUCGGGAUCCUCCAUCGUCAAGAUUCGAUUCGUUUCGUCGAGCAACGGAUUGAAAGGAGGAGGAGGAGGAAGAAGAAGAAGGCAGAGAUUCGAGUAAGCAAGGACACGCGUCGGAAGAAGAGAUUGGGAGAGGAAUCAAUAUAAGAGAAUCUCUCUACUCUGUUGUUUGUUGAUAAUAUUUUAUUUUAUUUUAUUUUGGGAUCUAGUGGGCACACAAAAUAAUAUUUGAUUUUUGACCUUUAUAUUAUACAGUGUGUUACUGAAGUUAGACGACGAUAUUUGUAUCAGAGUGAUUUAUUUUCCAUUAUUAAUAGUUAACGUCUUAUAACUUUUGCGUACAUGUGGGUGAUUUAUUUUCCAUUAUCUAUCUAUUAUCUAUUCUAUUAAAAGAGAACCAUUCUAAAAAAAUCUACUUAUACAAGGUUACUGCACCCUUUCAUUUAAGUAACAAUUAUUUGGUUUUACCAUCUAUUAGCCCAAUAACAAAAUAUAACCUUAUGUUUAGCUAACUAUAUUUAUUACGCCUUAUCUAAACCAGUAGUAUAACAACUUUAUAUUUGAUAGACCAAAACAUGUUUUACACGAUAAUAUAAAACACGAUACAUGUUAUACACAAGACACUAUACACUAUAUAGUUUAUUCAUUGAGUCCUGCUCAUGUUGAUGACAGUUAUCUGUACAAUAAUCAUAUCACAUGUAUUCCUCUCUUAGACCCAAACGCCAAAUGGCAAUGCCUUCAUUCAAUUGAAAGACCAGAUCAUACCCUAACCUCGAUGAAACAACACAUUCAUUCUCAAUCUGCCAAAAUGAUUCAGAGCAUAACAUUACAUAUACUGUAUCAUUUUGAAUAAAACUUAUCUGGUAAAAUACUGUAUCAUUUUGAAUCAAUCUAAUAUGGCAAAGUAUUAGUGCUUAUACCAAGUCUCUUCUUUGAGAGGGUUCUUAGUUCGUUCUUAAUCUGAGAAGUUCGUUCUUUAUUAAUUCAUUCUUAUCUAUCAAAGUUAAAGUCUGUUUUUAAGAAAUCGGAUCAAGUUUAUAAUAACCACGUUAUCCUAACUAUAUAUAGUUAUAAUAUUUUCAAAUUUAGUAUUAACGACCAUAAGUUAUUAAUUUGCUAGCAUAAAUUUUUCUAACCUACUUUAACUGAAUAGAUUUUCGAAACAAUCUGUUCGAUACAAUUUUAAAUACAUAAAAACCGAAAUCUUAGAAUACUUGAUCUACAAGUUUCGUAUUAACUACAAUACAUGAUAAUUUUCCGUGCAAAAAAAUUAUGUUACCUACUUUAACUGGAUAAACAUUAUCGUGUAGAAUUUAUAUUCCAAUAAUAUUCCUUAUUCCUCCAACUAAAAAAUCAUAUCAGAUCUUAAUAUUCAACCUUAAAUAUGCGUAUCUUGUGCUAAGAACUGACCCAAACCCGAAAAAAUUUAUGAAUACCUAUUAGAUUCAAAUUUCUAGGAUCCGAAGGACCCAGAUCCGAAAAAAAUUGGACCAAACCCAACCCAAAGACUCAAACGUCCAGGCCUAAGUGUAUGAAUGAGCAUUCAGGUACCCAUUUGGGUACGAGUCAGUUCUUUAGGGUAUUAGAAUUUUUGAGUUCUUGGGUAGGGUUCGAGUCGGUCCUCCCAGAUACGGAUAUGUUCGGUUCUAAUGUAUAUGAACCUGAAAAUAACCAAAUAACCAAUGUAUCUGAAACAUGUUUGUCAUGUUUGUACUACCUGAACCGACCUAAUUUUAAAAUAUAACUAAUAUAUAUUUACAUUUGGAUAUCUUAGAAUACUCAUUCGGUUUUCGGUUUAGGUCGGGUAAUUUUUUUUUAAUCUGAAUUCUUCGAGUCCUCGACAUUUGGAUCCAAUUAGGUAUUUGAAAUAUUUUCGGUUAUAGUUCAGUUUGAUUCCUUUUGGAAUCGAGUCAAUACGAGUCCAUAAUUCAAAUAACCCUAAAAUACAUGUAAUUUGAGUACGUAAUAGUCUAGCUCAGUUUGGAUAUUUAGGAGCAAAAAAAAAAUUGAAAGUACCCGACCGAAAGACGAAAAAUACCUAAAAUACUAAUUCAUAUCCAACUUUAUUUAUAACCCAAACAAAAUCCGCGCUUUUGAAGCGCGGGUAAAAAUCUAGUUAAUAGUUAACAUCUUAUAACUUUUGCGUACAUGUGGACAAUGAACAAACAUGUGUACACAGAUAAUUAUAGCAUCCAUUUGUAGAACAAUUGUGAUAAUAUACAUGUGUACAUGUAUAACAACAAGCUCAUUUUAGAGUUACACAAAACAAUGAAAAUUCUAGAUAUAUUCAUGAGAAGUGAAAUAUACGAGUCUCAAAUUUUGAAGUUAACAACGACGGUGUCUUUGUCACCGUCUUCUUCAUGCUCUCCUCCAUUCUUGAUCCAAGGACGAAGACGAAGCAGCCGAAGAAUAAGAAGACAUGGCUCAAGUAGAACUUGUAUGGUUUCGACCCACGAGUCUAUGACUACAAGUCUACAAUUCUAAAACCUGCAAACCAUUUCAAAACUGUUCUGUUUCAGCUGUAUCCAUUUUUUUAUUCUCUUUGAUUUCAACACUCUGUUGUUUACGUCUCCGCAGCCAUCUCUAUCAUAUACGUCGAUGGCAUCUACAUCUCUGUCAUUAUCUAUGUCUCCGCCUUCUUCUACUUCUCCGCCAUCGUCUAUACGUCGAUGACGCCUACGUCUCCGCUAUUGUCAAUGUCACCAUUACACCACCAUUCAACCAUUAGCUUUGACAUAUCUCAAAAAACAGAUCAAAGAGUAGAGAUAAUAAUUUAAGGUAACAUUUUUGAAAAAACAAAUCUAGAGAAGUGGAUUUUAUUUUACAAAAAAAAUGGAAGAGAAAGAAAACGAAGAAGAAAGAGAAUGAUACUCACAAUGUCUUUUGGAUUUAUUGGUUAAGAAAUAUAUUAAAUUAAUUGAGAAAUAAAAAAGAGUAAUUUAGGAAUUUGGUGUGGUCUAUAUGUGAUGUUUAUUCUUGUUUCUUGUCCAAAACUGCCCUGAAAGCAAAAAGUGUUUUAUUAUGUUAUAAAAAACUUGAAACUGUUUUUGAAUUUGAAUGUAAUUCUUUCCUUGUAUUAUAUCAAGUAAAGCCAAUCUCUUUUGCUAAACGACUAUGUAAACAGAAUAUUAACAAGAUGUGGUUAUGCAAUGGAUGAUUACGUACGGCGUGAUGAUUAUUUAUUAGCUUAAUUCUGCGAUUAAUUUAAAACUUUUCUGGGGUUAAGGACAACGUUUUCUGUUGUUGAUAGCUAAAAGUAGUUUCCUGGUGGCCCAUAAUAGUUGGGGUUAAACUAUAUGAUUGUUAUGUAUGUAUGGAGCUAUGUGAAUUAUUAAAAAAAAUUGCAUGAUGAUGUAUAUAAAUCCAUAGAUGACUUCAUCAAACUGGCCAAUAAAAUACUAUCAAAAUUGAAUAUAAUUUGUGAAUUUUUAUGUAAAUAAAAGUUUCAUUUAAAUCAAUCAUAAAUUUUUAUGUUCUAAAAAUUGGUUUAGGUAUUGACUAUUGUCCGACUAGGCGGCACGGCAAAUUGGACCUAAAGGAUUUUUAUAGAAUGAUUUUUAAAAAAAAAAAUCGGUCUAAGCAUUCAAAAAAAUUAGUCUAGUCUUCCACCUAAGCAAUAAUCUUCUAUAAAGCAUUUAUUUUACCGCCUACAAUUUUUCGAAGAUUGGUCUUGGCAGUCCCGGCUCUAACCUAUGGCCACAUUGAUAAUUGCUAUGGAUCCAUGGAUCCAAACAAAAUUUUGGUAUUAUUUUACUAAUUAGAAAAUUCUAUUUUAAUUUGUUAAAUUAUCAAUUAGCUGGUGAAUUUAUAACAAAAAAGCUCAUGAUUAACAAAACCAAUUUUAAAUACAACAGGACAAUAUUUAUUUUUUUUAAACUUCACCGUUCUUAAUUUUUUUACAACAAAACCUAAUUUACACUUAAAGGUCCAUUUUUUUCUUUUAAUACCACAAAUUUUUUUUGCUCCAAUUUAAAGAAAUGCACUAAUUUUUUUGUUAAAAGGGUGUCUAUUUUAUGUUUGGCGUAAGGCCAUUAAAAUUUUUAAGACGGCACUGGUCUUGGUGUUAGGUUGAGAAACCAAAAUUGGGGAAGCUUUGCAACUUGAUGGUUCCUUGUGCUUUGACAGCACUUGACCAUUGGUCUCCACAAGUUAAAGUAAGUCCUUUGGUGUUGUAAUGGCAUUUUUCUCUUAUUAGUUGUAAACAUGAGGCCAUAUAGUGAAUGAGAAUAUGAUGUUCUUUGUUUGCUUUUGAUGACAGGGGCAGGGCAGGGUAAUAAGCUUUAUUCAUCUAAGCUAAAAAUGGUGAUCUUGGAUUGUAUGGAAACGUGUGGUUCUUGAUGCUUGUUGCCAGAAUAUAGCCUCAGAUGAUGAGAUGUGGAUACAUGUGGUGGAGUUAUCUGUGCUUCUUGUUACUAAACUCCAUCCAAAUAAUCCCGAAACAGUACAAGUUUUGUGAUCAAUCUUAUAUGUACUUUACCUUUGAAUGGUAUAACAACUACACCAACAUAAACUCUUGAAACCAUAUACACAAUUGAAAAUGAAAAAAUAGAGUCGCUGCACAUCAGAAACACCAUGACUUAUAUUUCACUGUAGUCCAAUGUAGAAAAAAAGUAAUGCCCAGGCCCCCCCUUACAAACAAGAAUCUAUGUAAUCUCUCAACACCACUAACAAUACAACAGUAAGAAGAAGAAGUAAAAGAAUCCAUUACACAGUUCAUGGAAGACUAAAGAUAUGACCAAAUCUUUUAUGUACAAACCUGCUUUGGAUCAUCAAUCAUAGCUCCCUCAGGACUCUAACAGUUGGUGGACAAUCUGUUCUCUGACCAGCCAGCGAGUAAUACGCCAGUAUAUGAGCAGGAUGCUCCAUCUCUCUCACAUCUCCUAGGUUCACUUCCGGGACUCUUCUUGCUUGAAUCAGCUCAAUGUUCCAGUUCGGUCGAGACAUUACCCUCAGAUCUUGUCCCGUCACCGAUUCUCUGUACCCUUGUACCCACAAGUAUCUCAGCGAAGGCAGUUUCAUCACCGCUGCAGCGAUUGCUCUCUCGCUGAAGCAACACCCUCUCAUCUCCAGCUUCUGCAGCUUCGGACACCCUUUUGAGAAUUCCAUUAGUCCUUCGUCUGUUUCACCAACGUAGCCAAGAAGCAUCCAUCUCACGUUUGGACUGUACUGUCCGAUGUAUCUUAACCCCACGUCUGUUAAGCCGCCUGGCCUGAGAUAGAAUGCAAACCGUCUGAGCUUCUCGCAUCCGAUCAAGAGGGAUCUGACUCCGUUGUCCAGCGGCAAAUCUCUUAUCCUCUCUUCCUGGUCGAGCAAGACAAGGCGGAAGUCGCUGAGGUUUUUCAGAUACGCGCCUAUGGUUCGGAGAGACUCGUUGCUUAUGUCUGUGACGUACACCGCCAUGUAUUCUAGCUCCUGGCAGCCCUUAGCCAAAGCCGUUAAUCCUCUCUGUGUGACAAAACCUCCCAAGUCCUCAUUCCCUUGUUCAUCUGCACCCCAUCUUUCGUCCAUCAUCCCUUCUUCAUCUGCACCCUGUUCGAUCCUCAGCCGCUUCAACUGCUUACAGCACUGUGCAAGAACCUCUAGACCCUUAUCUCCGAUCACAUUCCUCGUCUGAGAGAUACACACCAAGAACUUGUCAGCCUUUACAUACAAAAUAAAUAGUUCAUAAAGAAGAAAAAGUUACCUCAAGAACUUCCAAAUUAGGACACUUUUUGAUUAGUUUACAAUGAUCAUUAGUUUCGAGAAACGUAUAGAGCAGAUCCAGCUUCCGGAUUUGGGCAGCGAAUGGGAAUAUCAUUGGCAUUUCGUUAGCUCCAAAGUAAGUGAGGCCCAGACGACUUAGCUUUGGAGGGAAAGUGAGUUUGAUGUACUUGUCAGGUGUUUCAGGAGUAAAGGCGCCACCACAAAACUCCUCAAGGUUAACAGCAGCGUUAAAGAACCGGACUAGCUCCAGCAUCUCAACGUCACCGACCUUGACAGAGACCAGAGAGCGGUGGCAGUUCCUAGCUAUGGUUUCCAAGUCUCUGGGGCUGAGUUUUGUGAGCUCGGUCAUGUACAAGUUUAACACCUCGAGAGACGUGUUGUGCAGGGCAAGCUCGUGUAGCCAGUUACCGUCCUUUUCAAGAAAUGAACUCUCUUCCAUCACCAACGUUUUGAUAUUCCUGUCAAAGAAAACAGACGGAACAAUGAACCAAGUGAGAAAACAACUCAACAUAAAAUUGCAUAUGCACAACAGCGACAACCCAUUCAAGGAUACAUGAACUCGCAGAGACAAUCUUUCUAUGCAAAUGACAUAUAUAAUCAAGUCAACGCUAUUAUGUAAACGACUUUGAUUAUAAACAUUGAACUCCCAGUGGAAUGAAAAUAGUAUUUGAUUCCUUACUAUACUUUACAAUCAAGUCUCCAGAAACACGGCACCUAAUGCAAUGAACGACAUUAUAAACAUUGAACUCCCAGAGACAAUCUUUUUUGAUAGAACCCCCCGCCAAAGUUUCUAAUUCCACAACUGAUAAUUUUCUCAAGUUGCAGGCAUAACAAUGGCAAGUGUAAAGUGUAGCAAGGUCCUUUAUACAAGUAGGCACCAACGUUUCUACUUAGUCAACUUGUUCUUAUAAAAACGGCAUCGUUAUGAAGAUAAAGAGAGUUGCAAAAGUAUGUGAUAAACCUCAAGAACCAAUCGACAUUAUAAACAUUGAACUCCUCCAAAAGUGCAAAGUAUUAGCACGUAAGGUCCUCUCUACACAAGUAACUAACCAAUUGAGCUAGCAAAUCUUGUUCUUAUCAAAAACGGCGUCGUUACGAAGAGUAAUCUUGUGUUAGUUACCUGCAGUGUCUAACGACGCUCAAGAGCCCAUCGGUAGAGAACCCUAAGCACUUAUCAAGCUUCAGAACCUCGAGCUCAUCCCCCCUCGCUCUCGCCAAAACAUCAAGAUCCAAAUCACGCACGAUCAUCCUCCUGAAAUGCACCGACCUGAUCCUCCGGAGCGACAAGGCGAUCUCGUUCACCCAGGGGGUAACGAACCCUCCCCAAUUAUCGGGGAUGAGGUUGAACAUCGCGGCGCGAGGCUUCCCUUUGAGCAGGCCCGGCUCAAAAGAAUUUUGGGCCCUUGGCAAAAUAAUCAAAAAUUUUUUUUUUUACAUAAUUAUAUGAUAACUUAAAAAUUUCGGGCCUUAUCUUCAAUUUUUUUAAAAAUAUUGGGCCCCUUUUCAAUACUAUUUAUGCAAAAAAUCUUUUGGGCCCUAGGCCAAUGCCCCUUUGCCCACCCUCCUGAGCCGGGCCUGAUGGAAGAGAAAGAAAACGAAGAAGAAAGAGAAUGAUACUCACAAUGUCUUUUGGAUUUAUUGGUUAAGAAAUAUAUUAAAUUAAUUGAGAAAUAAAAAAGAGUAAUUUAGGAAUUUGGUGUGGUCUAUAUGUGAUGUUUAUUCUUGUUUCUUGUCCAAAACUGCCCUGAAAGCAAAAAGUGUUUUAUUAUGUUAUAAAAAACUUGAAACUGUUUUUGAAUUUGAAUGUAAUUCUUUCCUUGUAUUAUAUCAAGUAAAGCCAAUCUCUUUUGCUAAACGACUAUGUAAACAGAAUAUUAACAAGAUGUGGUUAUGCAAUGGAUGAUUACGUACGGCGUGAUGAUUAUUUAUUAGCUUAAUUCUGCGAUUAAUUUAAAACUUUUCUGGGGUUAAGGACAACGUUUUCUGUUGUUGAUAGCUAAAAGUAGUUUCCUGGUGGCCCAUAAUAGUUGGGGUUAAACUAUAUGAUUGUUAUGUAUGUAUGGAGCUAUGUGAAUUAUUAAAAAAAAUUGCAUGAUGAUGUAUAUAAAUCCAUAGAUGACUUCAUCAAACUGGCCAAUAAAAUACUAUCAAAAUUGAAUAUAAUUUGUGAAUUUUUAUGUAAAUAAAAGUUUCAUUUAAAUCAAUCAUAAAUUUUUAUGUUCUAAAAAUUGGUUUAGGUAUUGACUAUUGUCCGACUAGGCGGCACGGCAAAUUGGACCUAAAGGAUUUUUAUAGAAUGAUUUUUAAAAAAAAAAAUCGGUCUAAGCAUUCAAAAAAAUUAGUCUAGUCUUCCACCUAAGCAAUAAUCUUCUAUAAAGCAUUUAUUUUACCGCCUACAAUUUUUCGAAGAUUGGUCUUGGCAGUCCCGGCUCUAACCUAUGGCCACAUUGAUAAUUGCUAUGGAUCCAUGGAUCCAAACAAAAUUUUGGUAUUAUUUUACUAAUUAGAAAAUUCUAUUUUAAUUUGUUAAAUUAUCAAUUAGCUGGUGAAUUUAUAACAAAAAAGCUCAUGAUUAACAAAACCAAUUUUAAAUACAACAGGACAAUAUUUAUUUUUUUUAAACUUCACCGUUCUUAAUUUUUUUACAACAAAACCUAAUUUACACUUAAAGGUCCAUUUUUUUCUUUUAAUACCACAAAUUUUUUUUGCUCCAAUUUAAAGAAAUGCACUAAUUUUUUUGUUAAAAGGGUGUCUAUUUUAUGUUUGGCGUAAGGCCAUUAAAAUUUUUAAGACGGCACUGGUCUUGGUGUUAGGUUGAGAAACCAAAAUUGGGGAAGCUUUGCAACUUGAUGGUUCCUUGUGCUUUGACAGCACUUGACCAUUGGUCUCCACAAGUUAAAGUAAGUCCUUUGGUGUUGUAAUGGCAUUUUUCUCUUAUUAGUUGUAAACAUGAGGCCAUAUAGUGAAUGAGAAUAUGAUGUUCUUUGUUUGCUUUUGAUGACAGGGGCAGGGCAGGGUAAUAAGCUUUAUUCAUCUAAGCUAAAAAUGGUGAUCUUGGAUUGUAUGGAAACGUGUGGUUCUUGAUGCUUGUUGCCAGAAUAUAGCCUCAGAUGAUGAGAUGUGGAUACAUGUGGUGGAGUUAUCUGUGCUUCUUGUUACUAAACUCCAUCCAAAUAAUCCCGAAACAGUACAAGUUUUGUGAUCAAUCUUAUAUGUACUUUACCUUUGAAUGGUAUAACAACUACACCAACAUAAACUCUUGAAACCAUAUACACAAUUGAAAAUGAAAAAAUAGAGUCGCUGCACAUCAGAAACACCAUGACUUAUAUUUCACUGUAGUCCAAUGUAGAAAAAAAGUAAUGCCCAGGCCCCCCCUUACAAACAAGAAUCUAUGUAAUCUCUCAACACCACUAACAAUACAACAGUAAGAAGAAGAAGUAAAAGAAUCCAUUACACAGUUCAUGGAAGACUAAAGAUAUGACCAAAUCUUUUAUGUACAAACCUGCUUUGGAUCAUCAAUCAUAGCUCCCUCAGGACUCUAACAGUUGGUGGACAAUCUGUUCUCUGACCAGCCAGCGAGUAAUACGCCAGUAUAUGAGCAGGAUGCUCCAUCUCUCUCACAUCUCCUAGGUUCACUUCCGGGACUCUUCUUGCUUGAAUCAGCUCAAUGUUCCAGUUCGGUCGAGACAUUACCCUCAGAUCUUGUCCCGUCACCGAUUCUCUGUACCCUUGUACCCACAAGUAUCUC